This 447-nucleotide ribosomal RNA is filed under the name uncultured bacterium. RNAcentral's name for it is "bacterial SSU rRNA". It matches the Rfam family "Bacterial small subunit ribosomal RNA", at positions 355 to 825 of the family's 1533-position model. The record is from RNAcentral.
UGGGGAAUAUUGGACAAUGGGCGCAAGCCUGAUCCAGCCAUGCCGCGUGAGUGACGAAGGCCUUAGGGUUGUAAAGCUCCUUCGGCGGGGAAGAUAAUGACGGUACCCGCAGAAGAAGCCCCGGCUAACUCUGUGCCAGCAGCCGCGGUAAUACAGAGGGGGCAAGCGUUGUUCGGAAUCACUGGGCGUAAAGCGCACGUAGGUGGAUAGUUAAGUUCGGGGUGAAAUCCCAGGGCUCAACCCUGGAACUGCCUCGGAUACUGGCUAUCUCGAGUCCGGAAGAGGUGAGUGGAAUUCCUAGUGUAGAGGUGAAAUUCGUAGAUAUUAGGAAGAACACCGGUGGCGAAGGCGGCUCACUGGUCCGGUACUGACACUGAGGUGCGAAAGCGUGGGGAGCAAACAGGAUUAGAUACCCAAGUAGUCCCUGAGCGGGCUGGCAAGGCGCAU